ACAAGGUAAAGGAAAGAAGCGCUAAAGCGCUUAAAGAAGAAUCAAGAAACCCAGGCGGCAAACUCAAAAUAAAACGCGGGCAAAUCCGUCUCUCUCUCUAAAUCAACUUGAAUCCGUUUUUUCGAUUAAGGCUUUAACCGCGAAAUUGAAAUUUGAUCAGUUUUUGAGCUGAUCCAUCACGCCAAUCAAUGAGAGGAAGGUUCGCCUAAGAGAGAGAGAGAGAGGUUAGGGAGAAAUCCGCGCGACUGUUCGUACAAUGAGAAGUUUUUUUGCACUCUAAUCCGAGAAUAGUGAGUUAGCUCUACUUCAAUUUGUCUUUUUACAUAGUUUCAUCACUCUAUGUCUUGCUUAUUGAUUGGAUUUUAUGUUCAUACAUUUUUGUUUAUUUGUUUUUUUCUUUCAUGUUUUACACUUUUAGGAUCAAAUGUAUCUGCAGACUUAAUCUGUUCGCGAAAUUAAUCGCCCAGAUAUAUUGAGCUGGAUUUUCAAAUCUUAAGGGUAAAAUCGUAUUCUAAUGAAUAUAUUAAGCUGAAUUUGGACGGAAGGAUUUGGAUUGGAAGUGAGGAUUUGAAAUAAUCUUACAUUUGAUGAAUCUAGUAUCUAUUGCAUUAACUUGAAAGUUGCUCAAGGAUUUGAAAUCCAUUAUCAUAUGAAAAUAUCAAACUAGUUCACUUAGCAGGAUAUUCAAUCCAAACAAUUUCAGUGACUAUUACAUAAGCUGGAAUCUGCAGCGUCAUGAUCCAUAACCUGACUAUUACAAGUGCAUUUCUGAACAUGUAUCAAUAUAUCUCAAAGCAGAGAUGGGCAUGAUCUUCUCUCUCAGUUUCUCUGUAGUUUCAAUCUUAAAUGGACAUCAAGCUUGAUAUAUGUUGCCAAUUUAUAAGUUAACACAUUCGCGCGCACACACAUUUUUCUGUAUGGUGGUUGGUGGAUGAAUGUGAUGUUAUAAUAGUGCAAAGUAUUUGGUCAAUGGCUUUUGCAGAUUGCAGUGUGUAUUGUUAAUUGUUAUAGCCUACUUUGUUUGAGUAUGAAGUUGCUAUUCAUUAUGGUGAUUAUGUGGUAACAUAUUCCUGGUCUCUGUCUUUGAAAUACUAAAAACAAAAAGUUACGUUGUCUACAUUUGGAUUAGUAUAUAGUUAUUAGAUGUUUGAAUUAGAGAUUUAUCUUGAAAUUGAAAAGGCCUUGUUGGACUAUCUGAUAUCCAUGUUUGUAAUGAUGUUGAUGAAUCUUGUAGUGCCUAAGAGGAUUCAAUAUUAUAACAUCACUGUGUAAAGUAUGUUACUAUGUUUUAUUGCUUGCUAUAUGCUCGGCAAAAGCAUUGUGUGUUCAGUAAUCUGUGAUCAAAUUGUACAUAUUACAUAACAUGCACCGCAACUGAUACUUCCAUUGUUCCAUUAGUCUUUCCCCAAAGUACUCUAAAAAUGUAUACAUGUAAUACAACUAUAAAAUAUUCAAAUUUUACAUUUGCUUAUUUAUUGUUUCCUGUCAAAUACUUUUACCCUUGAAAAAAUGGCUCAAUAAUGAGCAUAAAUAAAAAAAGAUGAAACAGAUACAUGUUUGCAAACUACUAUGAUUACAUGCAAUUUCUGUCUAUGAAGUUAUCAUAUUCUAUUCUAUUAAUCUCUCAUUGCUGCUUACAUACUGGUAAGUGAUCAGGUUACUGGCCGGAACAAGAAUUUGAAAGAAUUUGUCAGGUAUGUGUUGCUAUCCUACUUCAGCAGUUCUUUUGUCAUCCUGGAGUGGGGGCAUAGUGGCUCAUAACUUGAGAUGGCAACUUUCUUGUUGCAUUACCUUGUGUUUUCACUAUUUUUCUUUGGUAUCUUGCUUGCAGGGAGAUGCAACCUGGCCUUUAGAGGUCGUGGUGCUCGAGUUUUUUGGUCAAAUCCUCUGACACAUACGAAUCCUGCAAUGCAUUUAUUGUUUUAUGAGUAUAAAUGCAGUGGGGGUAAUAGGAUCAAUAUAAGGGGCUUGAUCUGUUUA
Molecule: long non-coding RNA, 1980 nt
Filed under: Salvia miltiorrhiza (redroot sage)
Lineage: Eukaryota; Viridiplantae; Streptophyta; Magnoliopsida; Lamiales; Lamiaceae
Description: long non-coding RNA (SMIL_LNC007899)
Source: RNAcentral